UCGGGCGUGGUGCACGGUGCAUGCCCGCCUUCCUUGCAUUUCUUGGCAUGUCAUUAACGGGAAACCUGGGUUCGACUCCCGGCGUUUGAA
Molecule: non-coding RNA, 90 nt
Organism: Mycena epipterygia
Lineage: Eukaryota; Fungi; Basidiomycota; Agaricomycetes; Agaricales; Mycenaceae
Source: the annotation of a GenBank genome assembly